RNAcentral lists this ribosomal RNA (429 nucleotides) under uncultured bacterium. RNAcentral describes it as "bacterial SSU rRNA". It matches the Rfam family "Bacterial small subunit ribosomal RNA", at positions 608 to 1029 of the family's 1533-position model. The record is from RNAcentral.
CUCAACCGGGGAAUCGCAGGGCGAACUGCGCGUCUUGAGGCAGGCAGAGGCCGUCGGAACGCUCGGUGGAGCGGUGAAAUGCAUAGAUAUCGAGCGGAACGCCGAUGGAGAAGUCAGGCGGCUGGGCCUGCCCUGACGCUGAGGCACGAAAGCGUGGGGAGCGAACGGGAUUAGAUACCCCGGUAGUCCACGCCCUAAACAUUGCGCACUAGGCCGGGGGCGUUUUGACGCGCUCUCGGCCGAAGAGAAAUCAUUAAGUGCGCCGCCUGGGGAGUACGGUCGCAAGGCUAAAACUCAAAGGAAUUGACGGGGGCUCACACAAGCGGUGGAGCAUGUUGCUUAAUUCGAAGCAACGCGAAGAACCUUAUCCUGGGCUUGACAUGCGCGGAUUAGCCCGUGGAAACACGGGCGACGCCCUCGGGUGGAACG